CCCAGGCAUGUGCCGCCACGACGCCGCCCAGGAUAUCGGCGCUGCCGAGCAAAUCUGGGUCCGCUUCACAUAAUGCAUCAGUCAGGUCAUCGACGCGUUCCAUAUUAGGCACUGCGUCAGAACGCAGAUUAGCGACGUAAUCAAGCCCUUGCUUGAGGCGAGAUUCAAGAGUUGGUGCAACACGAGCCCGUCUUGGUGGCAUUUCAAUUGGGAGAAUUGCAGAGGUGCACAGGCAAUAAAGGUUACAGACUCGUUGACACAGAACUCGUUCAAGUGUGGCACUGUAGCUAGCUGGUAUGCUUUUCUAAUACUGCAUCUAGGAAAUAAUUACACCAUGCAACUGUCACAUCAACGAGCACCGUCAAGGCUAAGGAUCGCACCGCGCAUCGUGGCCCCUGCCCCUGCCCCUGCCCCACUGCCCCUGCCCCUGCACCUGCACCUGCCCCUGCCCCUGCCCCUGCCCCUGCCCCUGCCCCUGCCCCUGCCCCUGCCCCUGCCCCUGCCCCUGCCCCUGCCCCUGCCCCUGCCCCUGCCCCUGCCCCUGCCCCUGCCCCUGCCCCUGCCCCUGCCCCUGCCCCUGCCCCUGCCCCUGCCCCUGCCCCUGCCCCUGCCCCUGCCCCUGCCCCUGCCCCUGCCCCUGCCCCUGCCCCUGCCCCUGCCCCUGCCCCUGCCCCUGCCCCUGCCCCUGCGCCGUGGCUGCGGUGAUGGUGGCGUGCAUGUGCGUAGCGGAGGGGCUACACAAGAUGACAAGGCCACGUGGAGGAGGAGUGCGUGGCGCUGCCCAAGAAGCGGCGCCGGCGCGCAGGUUCAGACCUGCCGGUGUCUGGUUUGCAGUCUUUGCUGGCGAGCAUAGGCGCAUAGCAUGGCACGGUGUGUGGGUGAAUGUAUUGCUGUUGGUUUGUUGCCUGCUGUGCUUGUGCUUGACAGCGAGACGCGGCUGGAUGCAUGGCAGGCCCAUGCCUGCACGAACCGACCCCGGCUAUGUCCAAGAGAUCAGGUAGUUUCGAUACCUUCAGCCUUAGACAUUGCUCAAGGUGGCGUGUGUAGGCUCAGCCCAAUCUUCCCUUGAGAGAAAUAGCCAUCGUUGUGUACAAACCUGUACGAUCCUGACACCCCUUGUCCUGCGCCAAGUCCCCCAUCGCCGCUGUCACCGCCAUCGUGAACGCAGUCCUGCCCAACGCAAUCCGUGCCGGUUUCUUGUAGAUGCCCUUGGGCUCGCGGCAUCUACACAGUGUAGAUGAACCCUCCCGCGGCAUCUACGCCCGGAAACUUUCACCUAGGGGAGUAGGGGGGCAAGCCCUCCCCCCAACCCCCCAAAACGUCUACGAUACCGCUAGAUCCGCGCCAAGAACGUCUGCGCGCCGUAGAUGCGCGGCCCCCAAUACCAAAACGAAAUCUUCCUUCUGCCUUCGGCGGAUUUUGGGGAGACCUCUACAGACUACAGCGCAGAUGGGAAAUACGGCCACCGAACGCACUCCGAGCGCACCAGGAUGGCCGUAUCUGACCGUCUUCAGCCGGCCCCCAACCGCAGGCCCAAGCCACAUGCUGACAUGCCGUACGGUAAACACCCAUGGGGGCACCCCUGGUAACACUAGACUCCCAAACUCGAAAUGCACCAUGACACCAUUAAUACACAUCUCCCCAGCAGGUCUCCCCCGAGAUGCCCCCUUCACAUGCUCACAACAAACAUUUCAUUAGCGCCGCCGGCAUCACGUCCCAGUAACUCAUGUGUGACAUGACGGUCAAAUCAAUCAUAGAACACUACAUCGGCAAUAGCUGAUCACAGACGACCGCGACUCAAUCAAGGCUUGCCUCCGGCCUGUGCCUUCCCUUCACCGGCGGCCCUUUGCCGGUUUGGGAGACUUUCUGGGGUUCCUCCUCCGCUUUGGGGAGGGCGCCGGCUUGGAUGAGGGUGACGGCUUGGGUGCAGGUGAUGAUGAAGGCGCAAGCGCCGGAGUCGGCGAGGGCUUUGGUGCUGCAUGUGGGGCAGGCGCAGCCGAGGGCGUUGGCGAUGCGCGUGGCGAGGAGCUGGGUCGGGGUGAAGGGCCAGGCGCCGCCGCCGGCGCGCCCUCAAGCGCGAACGCGCCCGGCGCAUCGAAGCCGCCGCCGCGCUGCCGCCCCAACACGUCUGACAGCAACUCCGCCACCACCGCCGCACCGGGCGGCGCAAGCUGCUCCGCCGGCCAGGGCGGGAACUGCGGCAGCGGCGCCACCAGCACCCGCACCGCCGCCGCCGCGCUUGCGCUCCCCUGUUGCAGCACCAGGCCGCCCGCCGCCCACACCGCCGCCGCCAGAUGCGCCGCCUCCGCGCCGCGGCCCUCCGCUGCGGCGCCGCCCGCCCACUCCGGCUGCGCCCCCGGACCCGACCACAGGUUGUCCCGUAGCAACUGCGCCACCCGGCAUCCCGGCGGCGAGUCCUCCCCUGGCUUCAAGGCCUGCUGCGGGCAGCCGGGCUCUUCGGCGUCCUCCACCCCAAGGGCCUUAUCGGCGCCGCCGUCCCAGAACAGGUUGCCGGCAAUGACAAGGCCCUCGUCAGCGCGCGCGUAUGGGCCGGGCACGCCCCCCGCAGCCGGCUGGGGGGGCAUGAUCUGAGGCAGAGGGCGGGGUGAGGGAGACCGUGGAAAGGGUCACGGUAUAUGCCCGCCGAGCCCAAAGAAAUAGGUCCCGACUCCCGACCGUCAAGCAAUCAUCGCCCAACCCGGAAAUGAAGUGGGAGGCAGGGAGGGGGUGGUGACAAGGCGGGGAGAGGGCGGGUUGGGGGAGUUUAGCGCGCGCCGGGCAAGAAGGAAUGUGCUCAUCUGUACCGUCGUUGCGCCCAACCCGUGUGCCCACCCGCCUACGUCACGCCUCAUACCUGUAUGUGCUGCCACUGCGUGCUGUUGUCCGGCGGGUUAACAAUCAGGUUGUUGACAAACAGCACAUCGCGGCUGGGGAUGGCCACGCCGAGGUCAUCGGGCGGGUUGUCCCCCACACUGGCCGGGCCCCAGGCGCCGUAGCCGCCGCGACGCAGGGCGCGGCAGCGGGCGGCGUCGGCGUCGGCGUCGCACACGCGGCUGCCGGUGUUGAACUCCACCGCAUGUGACCUGUGUUCCGGUGCUGUUGAUCGGAUUGCAGGAGUGCGCAGGCAGUGCUAGCUAGCGGUGCUGUUGCUGUGAUCAAGGCGCGGUACCGCAAGGCUGGCUAGCUGGUGGUAGCGACGGGGCCGGAAUGUGAACGCUCCCGCCCACAUCCCUCUUGCUCACCCGUGCCGCCCAACCUCACCCAGCCUCGCCCCAUCGCCCCGCCUCGCCCACCUGCUCCCCACACGCAUCAGGGUGUUGUGCGCCAUCAGCACGUGCAGCCCGCCGUACACGCCCAGCCCCGCGCCCCACACGUCGCUGAUGAGGUUGUUGGCCACGUGUAUGUCGUACGCCUCGUACUGCACCCAGGGCUCCAGCAUGUACUGCAGGCCUGUACGGCAGUGUGCGGCGCGCCAGUGCAGCGUUGUGUGUCUUAAGUGUGUGUGGCGACAUGCUGGGCACUACCUGCCGAGAAGCCUAGCAGGGCACGCGCCAGAGCCAUGCUAAAAGCAGCCAUUGUGUGAGCAGCUACGAUUAAUCUCGACAGGGUGGACGGCAACUUCUACUCUCAGGGCAACUGAAAUGAUGUCGUUUUGCCAUCUGCGAGCCUGCACUGAAUCAUGGUUGAGUCCUAAUUUGUCUUACAUAAUCAUAGCAUCAAUUAUAAGUACAGUGUGUGCACUUAGCAUCGCACCUUGCAUUUGCAUUUAUCAUAGAACCAAAACCCGCGACAGAUCACUCCUGGUGGCCUUUCCGUGCUCCGUUUCAUUUGCUGUGUGUAUAGAAUUACGAUACACGUAUUAGUUGCCGCUGACAUGCCCAGCGCCUCGCCUCGCGCGCUCCCGCUGUCGGGGCCAGGCAUUACCUCUGCAACGCGCUGCCUUACGCGGCCGCUCUCGCGUCCAGCACCAUGCCCGGCGCAGCCUAACAGGCAUGUUGGCCAUGCUCGCGCGCAGCGCCUGCGGUGCGCUGCCUCGGGGGCACCUGGCGACGGUGGCAAGCAAGACAGCCAGUCCACCGCACCCGCGUCGAAUGGCGCGCCCCCGAUUGCACCCGCCUCCGCUCCCGGCGUCGCGCGGCGCACCGCUCUGCUAGGUGAGUCAGGCUUGUGUCGGUUGGGGCCGUGGACGCUUUGGGCGUGGGAGGGUAACAGAGGCACCGGACGCAUCCCCCGCCCAUACACGCUUGGGAAAUCGUCAUCAUUGGGGAGAGGCGAUCUCCCGCGGCUCAACGCCGCCCCCUGCUUUUAAUCACCAGGCAACUAGGCACGAGACAGAAGCCAUACGCUGUGGCAGCCUUGCCUUACGACCUUGCGCCCAACUGUCUCCGCCUGUUGACCCGUGCCCCAUGCCUUCCUUUCCCCUCCCCACUCUCUCGUGCUCCCCAGGCGCCGCCAUGCCGUGCUGUGCGUGUGUGUUUUGCGGCGGCGGCGAGGCCAAGGCCGCCGGGGGCUCGGGUGCUGGCGGCGGCCGCAACCCCCUGUACGACAGCUACUUCGCCAACGCCAUGAGGUGGGGGGCCGGUGUGUGUGUGUGUGUGUGUGUGUGUGUGUGUGUGUGUGUGUGUGUGUGUGUGGUGGGUGGGGGCACGGGGGUGGCGUGGGGCGUUGUUUCCACCAUCGCUUGAGAAGGCUGAAACCAAAAUAAGGAGACAAAAGGACGGAAACGCAAAGAGCGCGGGGUUGUGUGGAGGCGGAGGAGGGUGUGGCGUGGCGUCGCUGCUGGGAAUGGGGAAUGGAGUUGCUGGUCUGGGAGUUGGAUUGGACGGAGGCGAGCUGUGCCAGGUUUUAAGGCAAGGAGAGAGGAAUUGCAAUGGGCGGGUCUUUGUGUACCGUACACGGUUGACAAGGCAAGCACGGACCUGAUGCUCUGCCCGCUGCUGCGGCGGCACCCCAUUAACUUAGCAACGCACCUAUACACAUAACCUCAUGACCACGCACAAGCUGAUGAACACACACACACACACGCACACACACACACACACACACACACACACACACACACACACACACACACACAGGUACGCGUAAUGUUUUCCUUGUGCUCUUUAACACACACAGGUACGGCAUGGACGACUACGAGGCCGCCAUUGCGCCCGUCAAGUCGCAGCUGUUCGGCUGCCUGCUUGGCGGACUGCUGGGCGGCGGCAGUAGCAGUAGCAGUAGCAGCAGCAGCGGCAGUAGCAGUAGCAGUAGCAGCGGCAGUAGCAGUAGCAGCGGGGACCCAGUCAAGUUGCUGGAGGUGGGCAUCGGCACGGGGCCCAACUUCGACUUCUACAAAAUGGCGCUGCAGCAGCAAUCUGGAUCCGGUCUUGCUGGCGGGAGCCGGCCGGUCCACAUCGUGGGUCUGGAUCCAAAUCCGGAGAUGCUCAAAUUCGCGCGCGAGGCCGCCGUCUCGGCCGGCUUUAGCCUGCGCGAUGUGGAGCCGGCCGGCAGUAGCGGCAGUGCCGGCAGUAGCGGCAGCAGCAGCAGCGGCAGGGCGGUGGAGGUGUCACUGGUGGAGGGCGGGGUGGAGGCGCUGCCGUUCGCGGACGGCGAGUUUGAUGGCGCCGUGGUGACACUGGUGCGUGCGGGGGAGGUGUGCGGGCGGGCAGGGGCAAGGGGGGUUGUAGAUACCAGCCCAAACUAAACCAGACCCAAUGCAAUAGAGCGAGGAGGAGAGCGGGGGGGGGCAGGGGCAGCGACACAGGGACACCGCACAGGGUUGUUGGUGGGAAGGCAGACGGUAUGGGUAUGCCACCGGUGUGGGAAUGGAUUUUGGCCGGUGCACCGGUGUGUAGCUGAUUUACUCAGCAGCAGCCGACACACAACAAUCCUGGCGGCAGCCGUUCCCCGCUGCACUAUGCUGCUCCCUGCGCGCCUUCCGGUCCUCCGCGGGUGUCAGUUAUGGGUCUCAUCACAGUCGAACUCGAGCUGGAAACUUGGCCGGGUUCCCGCACGCGCUCCCAGUGUGCAAGGCACGCAGCCCUACGCACACACACACACACACACACACACACACACACACACACACGCAAUCCUACCCACGCGCAGGUGCUGUGCUCGGUGCCGUCGCCCACCACGGCUCUGUCGGAGCUGCGGCGAGUGGUGCGGCCGGGCGGUCGGGUGCUGCUGGUAGAGCAUGUGGGGGCGGACGCAGGGUCGCGGCCGCUGCUGCGGCUGGUGCAGGGGGCGCUGAGUCCGCUGCAGCGGGCGCUGGCGGACGGGUGCAAUCUGGAUCGGGACACGCUGAAGGCGGUGCGGGCGGCGGGCUGGGAUCCGGAGGUGGCGGGGCAGGGCGCGGGGGACAGGAGCUGGGGGGAGGGCCUGGGUCUGGGCGGGAGCGGGGGAGGGGGCGGCGGGGGCGUGGGGCUGAAGCAGUUUGACCUUGCGGGCAUGUCCAUCUUGGCGCCGCACCUGGCCGGAGUAAUGGUGCGGUAGAGAUUUGCAGUGGGCUGCACAGCUGCGCGGGUGCAGUGCGUUUGCGCGGGUGCAGUGCAUUUGCGUGUGUGCAGUGCAUCGGGCAGGGGGAAGCGUCGUGAGCGGCCAGGAGUUCGAACGGCGGCGACCUGAUUUGUACAAGUUCAAGGAGACGUGACCGCAUCAUGCCAAUCUAUGUAAGUGGACACUGUUGCUGGUUUAAGGACGUGAGGGGGUGAAAGUGGCGUGCGUUUGGUGCUACAGGUCCGGGGUGGACCAGACCACACCGCCAGCGAGGCCGAGCGGGGCCGCGCGGGGCCCAGCGCCUGCGUGCAUCGGUAGUCUGGGCAACGGGCACCGAUUAAGUAUAAAAGGGAGCUCAGAUUCAUCACAAACAAUACCCUCCCGGUGACUGAAGCUUGAUGCGAAGCCACUAACAGCUACGCAAGCAAGUUACAGUCGCUCGCAGACCCAGGCCCGCUGGGCCUGUCGCUGAAAGCUUGCCGACAACACUGUCUUCGCAAGCUUACUAGCAAGGGCAGCCCAUUCUCGGUGCUUAGCGCAAGCGAGCACAGGUCUCGAGAAUGGGCGAUGCGCCCGCGAAGCCGACUGCUUCCGCGGUGCGACGCCUGCAGCGCGACCUGCGCCAGUGGGAGCGAGAUUAUGAGGAGCUGGGCCUGCCAGUCCUCCUCCACCAGUUGGAAGCGCAGGACUGGCUCGCCCGGCUGGCCAUCAACAUGGCGCCCAAGGUGAGCCGCAACCGGUUGCUUGGGCGCUUCGGUCUUGUCUGCAUGAAGCCAAAAUUAUGUAAAGCGGGCAAGGGAGGUCGGGGGGCUCUGCAAACCGCUCAACCCAACCGCCACACGCCUCGGCCCCUUCCCCGACCUCUCGCUGCCUCCCCCCCCCCACACACACACACCUCCCACUGCGUUCUCAAACCCCUUCAUUGCGCCCCCGCUUCCGCACCUCCAGGAGGGUCCGUUCGCGGGCUGCGUGUUCCACCUGCAUGCCACCUUCCCGCCCGACUACCCGCACGCCCCGCCCGACGUACGGCUGAUGGAGGCCCCGCCCGGCUUCGACCACCCCAACUUGUUCGCGGGCUGGUCGUCGGCGCUAACGCGCGAGCGCGAGGGCUUUUAUAUUUGUUUGGAUAUGAUCAAACCCAAUUCCGUGGGGCCGUACAAGGUGAGAGAGCGAUCAUAAGUACAGAUGGGUGGGGUGCAGGGAGUGGGUGCAGGGGAGUGUUUGGGUUGGGCGAGUAAAUGGGAGGCACGACUGGGUCACUGGGAUAUGCUCACGUGAAGGGGACGGGGCUGCAUACAGCUGCAAACGCAGGCAUGGCAGGGUAAAAGGGUGGUGGGAGAUGGGGAAUUAUUUUGUGGGAAUGUGCCUAAAAAUGUCUUCGUCUGUGUGUGUGUUGUUUUGCAGUUAGCCGUGACACGCGCUCUAGCACCCUAGCAACACCGGCCUCGUGUCAGUGUGCCGUGGAUGCGUGACGGUGUACCGUAUGUGUCGGCCGGAGCGCGGUGUUCCUUGGAGUUCAAGCUACCGCGAGUGUUGUGCACCGCACAACACUCAUCCGGCCCGAGCCGCAAGGCAUCAGUGUCGUGCGGAGAAGUGCAAGCACGCGACUUCAGCCACGUGCACAGAUGCGUGUGUUACUUCUAGCGGCAGUAGCAAGGAAUAGAAUGGGGGCAGCGUAGGGCGUCGGCCUGUAGGGCACUGGCGCCUGUGGGGCUUUGUCACUUGCACCGCCUGACCACGCACCCAUCGCGUCUGCCACAACUUUUGCACCCCCAACGAAGCACAUCUCUAAACCCUUCCCCCCUCGCUCCCUCCCGCCCGUUCCCGGCUCCAGGGCUGGAGUUCUGCGUACGACAUCACCGCCCUCGUGCUGCAGUUGUACGGCUUCCUACUGGCCGACGACUCCAUAGACCAGGCGGUCGGCCGCGCCAUUGAGCGGCAGCGCGAGCCCCUGCCGCGCCCUGAGCAGGAGCAGCAGCCGCAGGAGCAGCCGCAGGAGCAGGUGGAGCAGGAGCAGAGGCGGCACCAGCGGUUGGGCCCGCCCGCGGAUGGCGGCGGCACCGCCGCUGCCGGGCAGCCGCAGCAGCUGCGGGUGGCCUACGGCCUGACCUGCAGCUGCGGCUUCCAUGACCGGCCGCGCCUGCGGCUAGCCAGCAGCCCGCCGCCAGGGGUCGUGGCAGUGCCAGUGGCCGCCGCGACGGGCGCUGGCGUGGAAGAUGCGGCCAUGUCCGAUGCGGCCGCCGCUGCGGACCCCGCUGGCCUAGGGCGCAACGGUGGUGGCGGCGGCGGUGAGGUCGUAGCGGGCGGUAAGGAGGCAGCGGCGGACGGCAAUGUGGCAGCCUGCCGACUGCCUGACCUCCCGAUGGAGAUCAUCCACAAGAUCUUCACACACGCCGACUCCGGCACUGUCAGCAAGGCCGCCGCCGCCGCCGCCGCCGCCACAACCACUGCUGCCGCCGCCGGUGACCAGCCGCCGCCGCCCGCCAAGCGCGCGCGCAUCCGCUGGUCCCCGCCGCCCUCCACCUCCCCUGCCCCGCCUGCCGCCUCCGCAGCAGCAGCCGCUGCCCCGGACGCUGCCGCCGCUGGUCCGGCACUGGGCGCGGCGCCGGCGGGCGCGGCGGCACACCUGAUGCUGCUGUCGGACGCGGCCCUGCGCGCCAAGCAGGAGGCUGAGCUGAUCUGCUUCUUCCGCAAGGCGCCGCCGGCAGCCGCCACCUGGGUCAGCCGCCGCCAGCCGCCCGGGGCGGCUGCUGGCGUCGGCGGUAACGACAGCAAGGCUAACGGCGGUGAUGGUGGCAGUGGCGGCGCAGCAGGCGCCGCCUCAUCGCGCCAGCCUGGCGGCAGCCGACCCGCAGGCGGUGGCGCAGGUGGCGGCGCUGCCGCCAGUAUCGACCCCCUGGAUGACGUGUUCGGCGGCGGCUACGACCGGCGCGGCAGCGGCGGCGGCGGCGGCAGCGGCGGCGGCGCCAUACCGCCCGAGCUUGACGUGCUCGGCGUGGGCGUCAGCGUGGAGUUGCACGACCGCAGCGCCAGCCUGCGGCGCCUGUCCAUGACGCACGACACGCUGUCGCUGGCGGCCUUCGCGGCCGACGGCGUGCGGCGCUCCGCCUGGAACCAGCCCUUUGAGGCCUUCCUGCCGCUGGCGGUCAACGCGCCGCACGGCCGCGCCGCACUGCGCGUGCUGCGCCACAGCGUGGCGGCCAUGCUGCGCCUGCCGCACGCGCGGCACGUGCGUGCUGAGCACCUGCUGGACGUCGUGGCCCGCCUCAUGAACAGCCUGGUGGUGGACAUCUGCACGCCGCCCAAGAAGAAGGAGGGCGGCGGCGAGCCGGAUCUGGAUCCGGAGAUGGCGGAUGAUCCGUUCCUGGAUUGGCAGGGCCGGCGGCAGCAGGAGCGGCCGGUGCCGAGGCACAUGUCGGACGCGGCGCUGCAAUCCUUCUGCCACCUGCACCACCUGCUGCUUACCCUGGUGGUGGAGGGCGGCAGUAGCGGCGAAGGCGGCAGCAGUCCUGGCAGUGGCUGCAGCGGCGGGGGCGGCGGCGGCGCACUGGGGCGGGCGGUGCUCGAGGCGGCGGCGCGCGACGUGUCUGAAUUCAUCACGCGCCCCGAGGCGCGGCGGAAGUCGUCCUGCCCGGACCUGGGGCUGCUGCUGGUGAAGUAUCUGUUGGUGCCGCGCGACGCCGCGCCCUGGGCCGCCUUCGCGCCGCCCUUCCUGCGCGAACUGCUGGCGCGGCAGGUGCGCUGGGUGGUGAAGGGCCUGGCGGAGGAGCUGCCGCAGCCGCCGCAGGCUGUGGGAGGAGGAAGGAGCGGCGCGUCGGCGCGGGAGGCGGCGCGGGAGGCGGCGCGGGAGGCGGCGGCGGCGGCCGCCGCCGCCUUCGAGCGGCCGUGGGAGGGCGGCGGCGACCUGCGCUACGCGCAGCGCCUGCUGGCGAGGGGCGGCGGCGAGGGAGCGGCGGCGGCCGCGGCCGCGGUGGCGGCGGACGCGACACGGCUGCGUCAGCACUUUGAGCACGCGCGCACCAGCCUGUCGCUGGUGGCACUGCAGGCGUUCUUCGCCAACCACCUCGCCCGCCCGUCAAGCUCCGCCGCCGCAAUGCAGCAGCUGGCGGCGAUCAAGGCGUCGUACGACGCGCGCAACGGCCAACCGCCACCGCCCGUCUUCGACGCCUUCAACGCGCACGCGCGCUCCGUCAUCGCGCAGCGCGGCUGGGGGGACUUCCUGAGCGCCGUACGCAUGGGCGUGUCGGCGGAGGCGGUGGCGGCGGUGGCGGCGGUGGCGGCUGUGGGGGGCGGCGCGGGCGCAGGCAUGGGUGGCAGGGCCGCCGCCGCGUCUGGCGGCGCAGGAAGCAAGCGCGCCGCCCCCACGAUGGCCGUGCCAAGCGCAACCGCGACGGUUAUGGUUGGUGAUGUGGCGCGCGUGAUGGCGGACACGCUGCGUCAGGCGGUGGUUGAGGCGCACCGGGCGGGGUAUCAGCAGGUCCCCGACGGUCGCGGGAGCGGUGGCGGUGGCGGUCGCGACGGCCGGGGCGGGUACGGUGGCGGCGGUGGCGGGAACAGAUGGGACCGGAAGCCGGCGGUGCCAAGUCGGCCGCCGCGGCACGUGCAGUUUGUGGACUGGGACGGCCCCACGCCGCCGCUGGUGGUGGUGGGCUCGGAGUGGUAGGGGGACAAGCUGCAGCUGGUGAAGCUGGCGAUGGCUGCUGGUCGUGCUGGCUGAUCGUGCUGGCUGAUUGCAUGCAUGUAGUCCGUCAAGGUUGGUGGCUGAUGAGGUAGUAAUUCGCAUGCAUUCGGAGGCGACAUCGUGCAAGCUCUUGUCAUAGCUGAUGUCGCCAAGCGGUGGGGCUGGUCAAGUGAGUCUGGUGACGGGAUGCCACAACGUACCACAUGCGAAGCUGCACGCAGUGCCUGUCUGUAAUACAACCGGGACGCCAACCCGCCCAUCAUUCAAUACAAGCUGUGUGCUUGAGUAGCAGUAUGCAAACAAGAGGACCGAAGAAUCUCUCCGGUGUACUGGGGCCUGGGGGCCAAGCAGGGCCAAGCAGGGGGCGCACUGGGGUUGCGCACCUGUCGGCCGGGAUCCAGGAACCUCAGCACGCAGCACGAUGUCUAACCAUCUGCGCAAGCCCAAAGUGCUUCGAUUUCCCUCGACUGAUUCUUACUUUCCUGUAUCGAACCGAAAUGCCCAACACAUCUUGCUUCGCACUCCGUUCAGCGCGCCCACAAGCGCGCUUUCAUUCGUGUCCAAGAAUGUAGAUAUACACUGCAACAUGGGAGUAUAAAUUAUGGGAGCCGUUAAUCCGGAAAGGGACGCGCUCGUGGCAGAGUGGCAGGAAAUCCUCGCGAGCACCAACAAGCCGGCCGCUUUGAAGCAGCGACAGGUGUGCAAAUGUACAUAAUGGCCUGAAUAAUGCACUGACGGCACUUUGCUUACUAUCUGGAGUUGAACAUCAACAAUUGCUUGGCUUCGGUCGCUCUCGCAGGGAUGGUUCUCCAAGGCGUUCUCGUUCCUUAAUACGGCAGAGCACAAAAACCACUGGUGGUGCGUCCAUACGCCCGGUGAGUGCGCAGAGUCCCAUCAGCUCAGCCCCGGACGCGGCGUCCCCUGACCGCGAGCCCCCUGCCCCCUCACUUCACGCGGUCUUCCUCUCACAGUCAUCCGCGCCCUCUCUGAGACGCUCUUCUAUGAGGCGCAGCCGGUGGUGCAGCGUCUGUGGGCGGAGAACACACGGCAGCUGUCGGAGUGUGCGGAGUGCAUCAAGCAGUAUCGGGCGGCGCAGGCGCACUUUGCCUCCUCCGGCCCGGAUGCGGUGAAGGUGCGCGCCGAGGAUUAACCUGGCUCCCACCAAACAUAGGCUGGGGCUAGCUAUUGCGCAAGAGGCAGCGCGUCUUUAAUAGCUGCAGGGCACGCAUAAACCCUUGCUAGCUGAUGAUCUGCUGCAUUCAUCCUGCCCAUGCACGUGCCGCUGCCGCACGACACACCUUCCCUGCAGCUUCUCAAAGUGAUGGCGCGGCGCGAUGCGGAGCGCGUGGCAGCCUGGCUGGCGGCGGCUCCAGGGUGCAGCGGGGGCCCGGCCGGGGCCGACGGAGCGGCGGAGCUGGAGGGCGUGCCGCAGCAGGUACAUGCGUGGGCAGCCAGGGGAGGAGGGAGACGGCGGCAUUUGAGGUUGCUACUGAUGGCAUCAACUACUGCGUGCCUCACGCGUGUGCCUCCUCGUUCUCACCAGCUUUUGCGGGACCCAGCGCUUCCCAGCACCAACACGUCUUCCUUUCAGACCUCACCCCGCCUCGGUCUGCUCACUGCGCGCCUCCCUCUCCGUCUCUCUCUCACUCUCGUCCCUUUCCACCCCGACCACAGGUGGUCUUGGGCCUCUUCGAGGCGCUCUCGCACCCGUCGCUGCUGGCGGACGCGCAGGUGGCGGAGCGGAUGGCGGCGGCACUGCUGGGGCUGGCGCGCAGUGGCGACCACGGCGGCGGCGGCGGCGGCAGCAGCGGCGCCGCGACCCUGUCUGCCGAGCUGGCAGAGGGCGGCCGCUUCCCCGGGCUGUACCUGCUGGCUGCGUAUCCCGACCCGGCUGUGAGGGCGCUGGUGGGUGCGGGACCGGGGUUCAGGGGUGCGGGGCGGGGGGCGGUGGUGGUGGUGGUGGGGGUGCGCGGCACACGGUGGCCAGAGGAGCAGCUUCGAGCGAGCGUAAGCAUUCGCGCAAUGAGGUUCGCUUCUCCCCGUAUGUGCUGAAUGGAAGCAUCAUAACGUGUGUGUAUACGUGUGUGCGUGUGUGUGUGUGCCGGCAGGUGCUGCCCGCGUUGCAGCAGCUGGGCCCCAUCGCCACCGCGGAGGAGGUGGCGGCGGCGCAGCUGGAGGCCCUGCUGCGCGGCUGGACGUGCCGGCUGCGGCGGGAGCUGCCGCCGCGGCUGCGCCCGGCGCCAGCGGCGUCACAGGCAGGGACAGCGGGAGGAGCGGGAGCAGCGGGGGCGGGGUCAACGGGAGAGGCGGGCGCUGGCGAGGAGGCGGAGGCGGAUGCGGAUGUGGUGGUGGUGGAGGAGCUGGAUGCGGCGGAGGCGGACCCGGCCACGGGGCGGCGGCGCUUCCAGCAGCCGCUGGAGUCGCUGUGGCUGGGGCUCAAGGUGCGGCGGGGCGGGGCGGGGCGGGGCGGGGCGGGCGGGGCGGGGCGGGGCGGGGCGGGCGGAAGUGGUGGAGGUGGUCUCAUCAUUGCCAGUCAGCAUCCAGAGACACGAGGAACAGGACAGGACAGGACGGGGGGAAGCUGGUGUGCGCUGUGGCGGCGGCCGGGGGCGGGUGCAGCGGAUGGGUGUGUGAGUAGUGGGUAGGCAAGGGCGUUUCCCAAGUGCUCGUAGAGCGAAAAUCCAAAUGAUAUGAUGGCUUCCCCUCUGUUCUCAUGUCCCGCUGCACUACGAUUGUUGCUUCCUGGCACUGUUCCGCACCCGUUCAGGUGCUACUGCAAGCGCUGCAGCCGCCAGCGCUGGCGGCGGCGCUGGAAGCGGCGCCGGACCUGCCGGCGGCACUCGUCGCCCACAUCCUGGCCUGGCGCCGCGCAGCCGCGAGCGCCGUCGGCGGCUCCGACCCACAUGGCAGCAGCGGUGGCAACAGUCACAACCCACAUGGCAGCGGCGGCGGAGCGCUGCAACACCACCAGCACCAGCAGCACCAACAGCUGCCGCUGCCUGCCAGCUACCGCCAUAUGCUGGGCUGCCUCCUGCCACUUGCGCGAGGGCUGGGCGGGGACGAGCUGCGGCAGGUGUGCGACGCGGCGGCGGCGCCGGCUGCUGCUGCUGCUGCCGCUGCUGCGGCGGCGGCAACGACUGCCACCGCGGCCGCGGCGCCAGGUGGCGUGGAGGCAUGGCCGGGCGCCCGGGCUGCGGCUGCGGCUGCAGCGGCAGCGGGCGGCAGUGGGGAGUAUGAUGGCAGUGGGGUGACGGCGCUGGUGGCGGCGCUGGGCGAUGCGGCUGCCUGCACGCCCGACCCGUCCAUGCACAAGGUAGGUGCCGGUGCAUGGCCAGAUGAGCGGUGCUGUACUCGCUUUGCCUUAACAGCAUCCCGCAAGCAUGCUGUUGUUUCGCCUCGCGCUCCACGUCGCGUUGUUCCGCAUCUUUUCUUUCGCUCCAACCCUCAUCCCGCCGGUUCCUCCCCGCCUGCUCCUCCCGCCUCUCAAUUCAACCCUCCUCCCUCCCGCCCGCCCGCUCCUCCCUCCCGCUCAUCCCUCAGCUGAUGGUGGACGUGGUGGGGGCGCUGCUAGGCUCCCUGGCCGCCAGCCCCGCCACCCCCCACCCCGCCCUCCGGGCCCCGCUCAACCUGCUGCUGCGCCAGGUGCACGGCGGCGGCGGGUACGGCACCGGGCUGUACGGCGGCGGCGCCGGCUGUACGACAGGAGCUGGCGGCGCGGGCGCGGCGCCGUACUCGUACGGCGUGAGCUACGGCUAUCCGUACAGCGCGCUGUGCCGGGCGACGGCGGCGCUGGCGGCGUUUGGCGGGGUGGGGGCGGCGGUGGGCCGCGGCGGCCACUCGCCCGCCUUUGGUUCGGACCUGUACGGGCCGGCGGCGUGCCAGGUGCGGGGGCCACUCGGUACGGUACUCGUGAGAGUCCGAACAAGAAAGACGAGAUGGCUUUGCGUGGAUGCGGGACAGUUGUUCGGCAGACGGCACCGCAGUGGCUGAACUGUGUUGUUGGCGGUGUAUGUGGUGCGGUGUGUGUUUGCAGGCAGUCAUGUCGCUGCCGGCGGCGGGCGGCGACGCCGUGGCGGCCGCGGUGGCGGCGGCGGCGGGCAACGGGCCCCUGGAGCUGCGGGUGGUGGAGGCGGCGGCGGCGGUGGUGUGCCUGGUGCUGCAGGUGGGUGCGCCGGGCUGGUCUGGUCAGGUCUGGGCACAGUACCAGCAGGCAGCACUUGCCGGUAUAGGUACCGGUGCAAAAGCCGCAUUAAGUUUGCCGCGUAAAUAUCGGUACAGAAGCCGCGUUAUAUUAGGGUUGCUGACCGCGUAUUCGUCCCAACUCGUGGGGGCCCGGUUUCCGCCUCCCAGGCCGACGCCACGGCGCUGGCGGCGGCGCUGGACCACUCGCGCCCCACCAGCGCCCUGCGCCGCGUGUGUCCCUCCGCCCUAGAGCCGCUGCGCCUGGCGCCGGCGGAUGCCUGCCACGCCGGCGGCGGCGGCGCUGAGGGCGGCCCAGGCAGCACCAGCGCCCCCAUGCCGCUAUCACAAGUCGGCUCCCAGCCGGCAGCCUUGGCCGCGCCAUCAGGUGCUACAGCCGCUGCGGCAGCGGCUGCAGCAGCGGCUGCGGCUGCUACAGCCGCCUGCGAGCUGGCGCUGGACGGGCUGGACAGCUACUGCGCCACGCCGGCGGCGUACAUGGCUGUAGCGGGCUGCCCGCACCCGGCUGUAGCGCUGGCGCUGCUGCAGGCGGCGGCGCACGUGGCGGAGCUGGAGGAGGGGGCGGCGGAUGGCAGUGGCUUUGCCGCACCCGGUGCCUGGCAGGGGCCAGGUGGGGUGGAAGAGGCGUUUGUUAAGUGUGAAGGCGCGUCCAGGUAUACGGUAGACGUGUGCAUUAGGACCUGCACACAUCUUGGCUGCCUCCACAUGGUUCGAGAUGUGUCUUUGCGCACUGAUGUCUACAGCAUGUUGUUGAUUUCGUGCCUUUUGCUGUGCGCGCGUGUCACGCCGACACGCCACAGGCGGCCGCUCCGCGGCGGGCGCCCUCCUGAGCGCGACGCAGUGGUCGGUGCGGCCGCGGCCCGAGGGCCCCAACGCCUGCGCCGUGCCGGUGGUCGCGGCCGCACCGCAGCUGCUGGCGCGGCUGCGGGAUGCCACGGGUAUGGCCAAGGGCUGGGGCUAGGCUUGGGGCUGGGGCUGGGUUUGGGGCUGGGUUUGGGGCUGGGUUUGGGGCUGGGGCUGGGUUUGGGGCUGGGUUUGGGGCUGGGUUUGGGGCUGGGGCUGGGUUUGGGGCUGGGUUUGGGGCUGGGUUUGGGGCUGGGGCUGGGUUUGGGGCUGGGGCAGGGGCAGGGGCAGGGGCAGGGGCAGGGGCAGGGGCAGGGGCAGGGGCAGGGGCAGGGGCUGGGGCUGGGGCUGGGGCUGGGGCUGGGGCUGGGGCUGGGGCUGGGGCUGGGGCUGGGGCUGGGGCUGGGGCUGGGGCUGGGGCUGGGGCUGGGGCUGGGGCUGGGGCUGGGGCUGGGGCUGGGGCAGGGGCAGGGGCAGGGGCAGGGGCAGGGCAGGGGCAGGGGCAGGGGCAGGGGCAGGGGCUGGGGCUGGGGCUGGGCUGGUGCACGAACGGUGAUGAGGGCUGCGGCAUUGCCUUUCGCCUAUCCACCACCGCCACCCGCCGUAACCAUCCAUCCCUGGUCAUCCCGCACCCCACCCGCGCCCCCGCCAUGGCUGGCAGUGGUGCACCUGGAGCGGGCGGCCGCGGAGGCGCACGUGCUGGGCAUUGCCGCCGACCGCCUGCCGGGCGGGCCCAUGGCGCCGCCGCCGCCGCCGCCGUCGCAGCCGCUGUCGCUGUCGCAGCAGCCGCAGCAGCAGCAGGCAGCGGAGGCGGGGUCGGAGGCGGAGGCGGCGGAGGCGGCGCGGGAGGUGGCGACGCGGGCGGAGGGCGAGGCGCUGGCGGCGCUGCUGCGGCUGGUGUGCGGGGCGCACGGCGGGCUCAGGUGCGGGCACGUGCACGUGCGCGGGCGUCCGUGGAAGCGCUGGGUCCAGGGCGCCAAACUCGAGAUGCAGGAUUUACAAGAGCACCUUUCUACCGGAGCUCCGCUCGUGCGCCGGUGUAAACAAUUAUCAGAAAGCGCAUACAGCAACGAUUGCACACUCGCGAACCUGCAGGGCCGCGGCGGAGGCGGCGUUGGUGUCGCACUUCCUGAGCCCGGCAGACGCAGCGGACGCGGCGGCGGCCGCCGCCGCGGCGGCCGCUGCGGGGGGCGGCGGCGGCGGUCCGCUGGAACGGGCAUUCGCGGGCGGCUGGCUGGCCGUGUCCUCAGGCCACUCCAAGGUGAGUUUAAAGCAGCAACAGUUGGGAGUGCUUACCUGUCAUGUCGGGAUCUGCCCCCCCCCAAAUAGCGAGGACCGGACCGGGCCGCUUGGCACUGCAUCAUUCCCAGUCCCCACGCGUCAAUGUGGCAGCACUGCCCCCCUGGCCUGUUCCGCCCCUCUCUGCCCCUCUGCCCGCUCCCCCCCUCUGCCCGCUGCGCCUCGCUCCGAACUCCGCCCCUCUCCGCCUCUCUGCCCGCUCCGCCCCCCCUGCGCCCCUCCUGCGCCCCUGUGUGACCCUGUGUCCCUCCUGCGCCCCUCCUGCCCACCCCUCCGCCCACCUGUGUGCCCUGUGCGGGCGCAGGUGGUGCUGGCCACGUGCACGCAGGUGGUGGAGGAGCUGGCGGGGCUGAGACCCAUGGACCGGGUAGGGCCGCGGCAGGGGGGUGGCGGGGAGGGCGGCACGCAUGAGACAAGCAACCCCAGUCAGGUUGAGCGUAAGGCCGCAUCUUGGCAUGUACUGGCCGCUGCGGCCGCGGCCCCGGCCCCCCUACGCCUGCUGUCUACUUCGCUACACUUUUUGUACCAAUCUUUGCCGCCCCCCCCCACCAGCUCAUGGCCAGCAGCUGUCUGGCGCCCAGCCUGCUGUGUGUGCAGGUGCGUGCCGUGGGCGGAGCGGGGAGCAGUCACUGCGGGGUUGGGAGCGUAAUGGCUAAGUAAAGCACACGGGACACGCUGUGUGCACAUGUGUCCAAGGGAAACAGCACGAGUGCAGGUGUAUCUUUUUUAGAGACAAGUCAGGAAAGCACCCUCGCUCGCCCCAUAGCCCGGCGGCCGCUCCCGCCCCUCCUGGUGCUCUACGUGUUGUUGUCACAACUCUGCAACCCCUCCGCCGUCUUUCAUGGACGCCGUCCCCCUUGCACUAGGCCGUGCUGCGUGCCGCUGCCGACCACGACGGCCUGCACGGCCCCGCCUUCGAGCUGGCGCUGAGGGCGUGGGCGCUGGGCGUCAGGAUGCUGGAGCAGGUGCGUGUGCGCGUGUGCGUAUGUGUGUGUUUGUUCGCGGCUGGGGUGCAGCUGGGAUGAGGGCAGGCAGGCUGGCGGUGCUGGCCAGCAAGGCGCAGCGAGAGAGGUGCACCUUCUUGCAGCAUUGUCCGCUUGAUCAGCAGUGCCACCUCUUCUGUCACCUCCAACCAACGCCGUUCGACUCCCUGCGGCGCUACCGCGACUGCCGUGAUUGCCGCUGCCGUGACUGCCGGUGCCGGUGACUGCCGCUGCCCGACUGCCGCUGUUGGGACCGCCGCUGCCGCGACUGCCGCUGCCGUGACCGCCGCUGCCCCGCUGCCGUGCAGGGCCUGCCUGUGUACCGCGCGCGGCGCGAGUGCCGCGGCGCGGUGCUGCCGCUGCUGCAGCUGCUGGCGCCGUGCUGGUACUUCCUGCUGCAGGUGGGGGCGUGGGAUGCAGGAGGGUGGAGCGGGGGUGGAUGGGCGGAUGGGUGUAUGGCGCAUGCAGGUUCCAUUGAGGAAGAAAGGGUUUCCGUUGCAACAGAGGCAUGCCGCUUUGGCGAUUGCGAUGCGGGACCCGCUCAGUGGCAAUACGGCCGUACGUUUGAGGUAGCCGCUUCGAAUGUCCCCGCAGGCGCCAGAGGGCCGCGCUCCCGCGCCGCGCCUGCUGCGUGCCUGGCUGCCGGCGCUGCUGCGCUGGGCGCCCGUGCUCUGUGCUGACCCGCCAACGGCCUCUGGCGGCGGCGCCGCCGGACUGCUGUCCUUCAGCGCCGCCGGCGGCGCCGCCUCCGCCGCCAAAGUGCUGGUCGGCUCGUUGGAACUGAUGAUGGGCACGGUCCGGGAUCUGGGUCCACUGGCUCCUGAAGCGCUGGAGGCGGCGCGGGAGGUGCUGGCGCCGCCGGGCGCGGCGUUGGCGGCCGCAGCGUCGGCGGGCAGGGGCCUGGCGGCGGCGACGGCGGCGGCGGUGGGUGGCGGCGGCCCCGCUUCGCAGCUGGAUGGGGAGCUGCGCAUGCGGCUGGCGAGUCUGUUUCCCGAGGUGGCGCCAGGUGCGUGGCGGCGGGUGGCAGGCCGAGUGGCAGGGCGGGUGGCAGGGCGGGUGGCAGGGUGGGUGUCAGGGCGAGUGGCAGGGCGGGUGGCAGGGCGCGGGUGGCAGGGCGGGUUGCCAGGGCCCUAGGCCACCUCUACAUAUUACCCGCAACUGAUUGACUCCACACGGCUUGUGUGCAGGCAACCUGGCAACAGCGGCGCUCAACCCGCUCGCGGGUCUGCCCUCCCGGGCCGCUACAGCCGCAGCUGCCAACGCGGCGCCAGCGGCACCCGGCCGGCAGCAGCCAACGCCGCAGGCGCAGCAGGGCGCGGCAUCCACGCCCCGGCAGCAGCAGGGCCCGCGCCUGCAGCAGCAGGGACAGCAGCAGCGCUCGCCACGCGGGGCGCCGGGUGCCGACUUCGUGCCGGAGUCGCCGACACGUGAUGACACCGACCAGCCCUCCGUCUUCACACAGCUGCCCACACAGGCGCGCCCCAGCCCCCUGCCGCGUCAGCAGCAGCAGCAGCAGCAGCAUCAAGGGCAGCAGCAGCGAGGGCAGCAGCAGCAGCAAGGGCAGCAGCAACACGGGCAGCAGCAGCAACAGGGGCAGCAGCAGCGGCCGGUUGUGGGGGCACGGCCGGCGGUGGUGGAUCUGACCCUCAGCGACAGUGGGGGAGAGGAGGACGAGGAGCAGGAGCCGGAGGGGGGCGCUGGCGCGGCGGCAGCAGCUGCGGAGGCGGGGGCGCAUGAGGCGCAGCAGCCUCAGGCUGAGGAGGAGGAGGACGUCGGCGCGGGCGAGGACGAGGAGGCAGAAGCGGCGGCGGCAGAGGAGGACCAGCUCGAGUUUGAGGGGGGUGAGGAUCGGGAGGAGGCGGGCGGGCAGGGUGAGGAUGAGGGUGAGGACGAGGAUGAGGAUGAGGAUGAUGAUGUCGAGAUCCUGGAUGGGCCCGACGUGGUGAUGGCGGCGGCGCUGCGGCCGUCUCAAGACGACCCCGAGGACAACCUGCCUCUGCGGCGGCGCAUGCCCGCCGCCGCCGCCGCCGCCGCCGCCGCCCACCAGAAGCAGCAGCAGCACCUGGUGACCGGCUAUGACGACACGGCGGCGGCGGCGGCGGCGGCGGCGGCGGACAGCGACGAGGAGGAGCUGCGGCGGCUGCCGGUGCGCCGGCCGCCGCCGCCACUCGCCACGCAGGCGGACGGGCUGUGGGCCGCCGCCUACAGCGCGGCUGCUCCUAGUGCUGGUGGCGCGACGGGUGGCCGCGGCAGCGGUGUUGCUGGUGUUGGUGCGGGUGCGGGUGCCGGUGGUGGUGGUGGAAACGCGAGCAACCCAUUCGCGACCGUCCCGAGGCGCCCGCCGCCCGCCGGCGGCGGCGCCGCGUUUGUCCCCAAGCCACGGAAGCUGGCGGCGGCGACUACGGCGGCGGCGGCCGGGGGCGCCGGCGUGAAGGCUGCUGCUGCCGCCGCUGCACAGGCUGUUCCCAAGGCCGGCGGUGCAGGGGCUCGCACCGGCAAGGCUGGGGCCGGGGCCGGGGCUGAGGACUUCAAUUUGACAGACACGCUUCGGGCCUUGGAGUGAGUCACCUGGACUGGGGGGGGUUAUAUAAAUACCAAACCAAGCCACACUACGGGGGUUGAAGCCCGUGAUGAUGCAGGGGCUGUAGAUGCGGCUAUCGGGGAGGGAUUCUGGCGGUAAUGACAGCUCACGCAAAUUGAGCUGCAGUCACGUGCUUUCUUCUUACGCGCUUUCUUCUGGCCCUACCGUAUGGUGUUUCACCAAAACGCAGAUCGGCGGUGGUGCGAACGGGCGGCAUGGACAUCGCCUCAAUCCGCACCCUCCAGCGCCUCAAGAUGGCGGCGGCGGCGGCAGGCGGCGGCGGCGGUGGCCGUGACAAUGACGGGCUGGGGCGGGCGGGCGGCAAGGCCCGGCAGCGGCGGCGGCCGACGCCGGCGGCUAUUGCGGUGCUCGGCGCGGCGGCGCCGCCAGCAGCGGCGGCGACUGUCGGUGGCGGCGUGGGUGUCAGCGCAGCGGCGGGCGGCUCCAAGGCGGCUCAAUGGCGCAAGGAUCUGUUGGGGAGAGGGACCGGGGCUGGCGGCAGCGGCGGCGGCGGCGGUGGAGCAGGAGGUGGCGGAGCAUGGAUCGGGGCCGGGGACAGGGGUGGGCUGGAGGGCGGGCGGCGCGCACGCGGCUGGGCCGUGGGCGGCGGCGUCGGCGCCGGUGGCGGUGGCGGCGCUGCUGGUGGCGGCGGGGGGCGGGCGGGCGGUGCUGUGGGGCCGCCGCCGGACCCUCUGGAGCAGCAGCCGGCGCCCAGCCUGAGGUAGGUGUAUUCUGGUGGUUUUGCAGUUGGGUGCUCGGGCGGGAGAGCACCGCCGCGCCUCACAACAAGCUUUCACCCCAAACCUGAUGGGUGUGCACGAUACCUGCCUAACCUUGACAACCAACUGCUCCCCGGGGGUCGCUGUGCGUUGCCGCAGGAGCUUGCACCAGCAGCAGCAGCAACAGGCAGCAGCGGCGGCGGCCGCGGUGGCGGCGCAGCCGCCACCAACCGACAACGGCAACGACUUCCACAUCGACGCCACGCAGCGGGUCCUGGUCAUCGACGAUGACGAUGACUUCUUUGCCAGCCAGCGCGCCGGCGGCGGCGCCAACGGGCCCAACGGCCCCAACGGCCAACCGCCGCAGCGCAACCGCCUCGGCCUGGCGGGCCUGAUGGCGGCGGUGGUUGGCGGCGGCGGCGGCGGCGUGCGGCACCGCAGCGUGGUGCACCUGGAGGCGGGGCCGCGCGGGGGCGGCGCCGCGCCCAAGCCGCUGCCGCCGCUGGUGCAGGUGCUGACGAUGAAGCAGGUGGUGCGGCAGGUGAGUUGAGUUGAGUGAGGGACGGUUUGUGUACGUGUGUGUGUGUGUGUGUGUGUGUGUGUGUGUGUGUGUGUGUGUGUGUGUGUGUGUGUGUCAUGGCUGACCGGGUGUGGAGGCCAGACGCGUGCGGGGCGAGAGCUUGGUGGCGGGCAGGAGAUGGGUCACGGCGCACGCACAUAGACAUUGACACAUGGGCCGCUGCUACUGCCCACCGCAGGUGCUGCAGCUGCGCAUGGAUGUGCUACUGCCGCUCGUCGGCAGUAGCAACGGAGGUAGCGGCAGUAGCAGGUCGCUGACGGCUCGGGGCUCGCUGCUCAAGGGGCAAAAGGUGCCCGAGUCCUUCGCUGACCUGCACCACUACACCGACACCUUCAGGUGGGGCGUCGGGGGCGUUGCUGCAUGCUGCCGUGGCUGUUGCUGCCGUGGUCCCAGGCGUCCGCAAGCUCCCAAAGCUUCCAAGCUUUCAAGCUCCCAAGCUCCCAAGCUUCCAGGCUCUGACUGCACGCAUGCAGGCGUGGCGGCACUGCGAGUCAUUCCCAGCCCUUUCAACAUUUCUCACAUAAGCUGCUGGCGCCGGACGUUUCUGCCAAGCCUUUACGACUCCUACCGCACCCCUGUCCCUGCUGCUUUUCCUUUCUGUGCUCUUCCUCAUAAUCCCAGGGAGCUGCUCAUGGAGGAGCUGGCCGCCUCCGUCCGCAGCGCGGUGGAGGACCUGGCUGCCGGCGCCGACAGCUCCAGGGGCAGCCGCGGCGGCGGCGGCGGCAGCAGCAGCAGAGGGGCUGGCGGUGGCGGUGGCGGCGGGGAGCGCGGCCGUGCGCCGCCUGCGGUGCGCGCCGUGGUACUGCUGAAGACGCGCAGUGACGACAUGAGUGCGGUGCAGCUCAAGGUGGAGAACGCAGGCGGCGGGGCGCAGCGCGACAUGUGCCGCGUGGUGGGUGCGGGCGGGCGGGCGUGGCUGGGGGCUGGGGGCUUGGGGGAGGGGGGGGCGGAGGGCUGCGUUGAUUAUGGGGCGUGGAGGGUCGGGACGGGUUUGGCCUGCAGGGCCCGGGCUGUGGGGCUGGUUGGUUGACCUCCGCGCAACCUAUGGUAACCCAAAAGUACGGUAGUAAUUCCCCCAUGAUUUCGCGUGCUUUCAUGGGUUGAGGCGAACUAGUCUUUCCGCCCCCGCUGUUUCACAUUACCCCACCACCUCACGACACCCCACCCGCCCCAGGACGACCUGGUUCUGCUGACGCGGCAGCCGCUGCCGUCCGCCGCCGCGCUGCUGACGCCGCCGGCACCCUGCGUGCUGGGGGUGGUGGAGGCGGUGGCGCCGGACGACGGCGGGUGGCUGGUGACACUGCAGGUGCGGGGGGGGGCGGGCCGGGGGGCGGGGAGCCGGUGUGCGGGGUGGGGGGGAGCAGGGGCAGGUGCGGGGGUUGCAUCAACGAGAGUGAAUUGUAGCCGAGGGGCCAGGUGCGGGGGGCAUGGCGCCGGGCUGGGGCAGGCACAGGAUGUGGGCAGCUACCGCGCGGGCCGGCCAACAGCGGGCCAAGUGUGGCAGCGCGACAUCGCCCCCGGGGCCAAGGCGCGGCUCCCGUAUCCAUCCGUACCCUGUGGUGCGUGCGUGCGCACAACAUACACACAGUCUUGCGCGUAUAAUUUUUUCCUCGUGCCCUUUAACACACACACACACACACACACAGUCCUGUUUCCUCCCUCCCAAACACGCGCUCUCUGGCACACACGCCCACGCCACCGGUUACACGGCUGCUUGUCGCAGGCCUGCCUGACCGGCCCCUCGGGCGGCGCCGCCGGCGGCGAGCUGCUGGAGGCGGUGGUGCUGCCGCGCACCGAAUGGCACCUCACGCACCUGACCAGCCUGGUGCCCAACUUCCGGGAGUUCCACGUGCGUGUGCCCGGCCGCGUCGCUGUGCCAUCUACCUGUGGAGCAUUGGUAUUAUUGCACCAGCUCUAAGCCUAAAGCUGCAGAUACUGCGCCCUGGGUCUUCAUGAGCGUUCGAGGGUUUUCUGUCGCAGCAAGCCCGGACUUUGCCACUGUACUGUGGUUUGCGCCAGCGCUCAUCCCUGCCGUUGCAACCCUCCGCCGCUUGUCCGCCCACACAGGCUCUCUGCAACCUGUGGCGCCUGCACGACCCCACCGUGCGCUUCCUGCUCUCCCCCACCUCCUCACCCUCUACUACUGCUGCGGCUACUGCCGCUGCUGCUGCCGCUACCUGGUCGGCUGCGGUUCUGCCUCCUGGCCUCAAGUCGGGGCUGGAGGCGGCGUUCAAUGAGCCGCAGCGGGCAGCCAUUCUGGCGGCACUGGCGCCCACACCCACAUUCACACUGGUGCAGGUGAGCUGAGUGUGUACGGCAUGAGUGGAUGUGUUUGCGUGUGUGUGCGUGUGUGUGUGUGUGUGUGUGUGCGUGCGUGUGCGUGUGUGUGUGUGUGUGUGUGUGUGUGUGUGUGUGUGUGUGUGUGUGUGUGUGUGUGUGUGUGUAUAAUCCAUGCAGCUCACUGCAGCCAAAGGGAAGGGGGGGCCCUUGGCCACGGCUCUUGGCGCAGCAUGGGGUUAGCCUCGCCCACAGCCACCCGCCACCGCCCAUCCCACCUCCCCACCUCCUGCCUCCGCCUGCCACUGCCGCAGGGCCCUCCCGGCACCGGCAAGACGUCGGCCAUCAUGGGUAUGCUGUCAGUGCUGCUGGCGCGACCCGACAUUAUGGCGUACAGGGUGAGGGGGGGAGGUGGGGGCAGCGGGGGGCGGCGCGACCCGACAUUCUGGCGUACAGGGUGAGGGUGGGCAGCGGGGGGCGGCGGGGGCGGCAUUCUGGCGUACAGGGUGAGGGGCAGCAGCAGCAGCACGGGCCUGAGCGGUGGGGGCGGUAGGGGCGGUGAGAGCAGUGGGAGGAGCGGGAGCAGGCAGGAGGGAGCGCACGGUUGCUGUGGUGGUUUUGGUGGGGUUGGGUGGGGCCUGGGAGCGCUGCUCUUUUGCGCUGACCAUGUAGGCCAAGCAGCUGGGCAUGCGGUGGCAUGGGAGCACGUAGGUAAAUGGCUAACUGCGCUGUGGCGUGGCGUGGCAUGCGCAUUGUCUGUGCGGUUGUCGACAGGCGGGGCAGUCCGGCUUUGCACCUGAGGUGUCCGGCGCGGCCCGGGCGGCGGGCGGCGGCGGCAAGGCGGGCAGCAGGAGCCGCGCCGGCGGCCUGGCGGCGGCCGCAGCCGCAGCAGCGCUCGGCGGCAAGGGCGCCGCCACCCGCGAGGCUGCGGCGGCGGCCGCUGCCGCCAUCGCCGCUGCGCCGUCUGGUCCGCUCAAGAAGUCAUCUGCAGCCCGGCGCUUCGCGGCCGUCAAGCUUGCAGCCGCCAAGCUUGCCGCCGGCGCCGGCGCCGCGACCGCCAAGCCUGGUGCCAAUGGCCGGGAGCGGGACGCCGAUGCCGACGACGACGAUGUGGCGCCGCCCGCCAAGCACCCGCGCCGGGGCGGCGGCAACGCCGGGGCUGACGUGGCGGAUUGCAGCAGCAACGUCGGAAGCACUAGCGGCGGCGCCGAGGGCUCAGGUGGCGGCGGCAGCACCAGCGGCGGCGUGGGCGCGGGCAUGCUGUCCCAGGCGUGUCUGGAGCGGGCGCCGCAGGAGGCCCUUGACGCCUUCGACUUUGCCAACCCGCCCCGCAGCCGAGUGCUGGUCUGCGCACAGGUACGGCGGGUGGGCAGGCCUGCACUCGCUGGCCUGCACCCGCGUGUUGAAUCACGACAUCUUAGUCGCAUGGCGUGCCUUUGCACUGUCCUGAAACGUGUACAUGCGCACACGCACACACACACACACACACACGCACCCAGCUCGGCAGGUUGGUCGACUGUGUGUACAAUAUGCUCUCAAGGUAUUCCCCUGCACCACGUACACUAUCCACUGUUGUUCCUUGUGCUCUUUGACUCACACCCGCAGUCCAACGCGGCCAUUGAUGAGCUGCUGACGCGGCUGGUGGGCGAGGGCGUGUGGCGGGCAGACGGCGCCAGGCGGCCGCCGGCGGUGGUGCGACUGGGCCGAGUGGAGGUCAGUGAGGCACCGGGGGUAGGGCCGCAGGGGCAGGGCCGCAGGGCUGGUGUGGCGGCGGGCGCGGCGGAAACACAAACAGCCCCCACACACACCCCACGCCCGCAGCACCCGUAGACCGAGCUUGUCCCUCCUGCCCCAUCCCCACGGCCUUCACCCUCGCCUGCUGCUGUGCCCCUACCCCCCGUAUAUCGGACAUCGGUAACAACGCGCCUCUGCAGUACCACUGUGCCUGGCCACAGCUUCACUUCUCAACUAGUCCUAAAUGCUUUCCCUCCGUCCUUCCUUCCCUGCAGGUGACGCACGGACCGGUGUUGGCACUGCACGUGGACUCUCUGGCGGAGCAGCUGGCGGGCCGCCACGACGGCACGCAGGCGGCGGGCGCGGCGCUGGAGGAGGCGCGCAAGUGAGGGGGCGGGGUGGGGGCGCGACGGGGAGCGGCGGGGAGGGGAGCGGUGGGGUGCGGGGUUUAAAGUACCAGCCCAAACUGCACCAAACCAAGCCAAAUCAGCAGAGCACAGGUGGUGCGGUGGGGUGGGUUCCGGUGUGGAGGCAGGCGUGGGAUGCCGGCGGCGUGGCGGCACGCGUGGGCAGAAGGGCGUGGAAGGCAGGCAGGCGGGCGGCUGCGUCUACUGCGCGGCGUGACUUGGAAUGUGCGGGGCAGGCAGGGCGCAAGGCACAGGUGCGGGUGCCUUGUGGGAAGUCGCAGGACCUGUGUGCGAGCCGGAGCAAGGGCCGCGUCGCGUGUGUGCCUGUGCCUGCGUUGCAGGGACCUCAUGGACGCGCGGCGCGAGUUCGAGGAGGCAAGUGGUUGGUUGCCCCGCCGGGCGUGUGGGCGUUGGACCACAUGUCGACUCGACUUGCAGCACAGCUGCUGGGGCUGUGCAUGGGAUGACUCGGUGGAAAACGGGAGGCGCGGUGACGCGCUGACGUGGCGCCUUGCGUCGCAUGCAUCUGCCUGCUUUCUGCACUCGGUCUCGCCUAGCACUCAGCACCACCCCAAAGGAGCACCGUUUACCGUUCCGCCUCCCCCUUGCCUCCGCUCGCCUCUGCAGGCGCAACACGAGCUGGAGGAGGCGGAGAAGCGCAUCCUCAGGAAACAGCAGCAGCAGGGCCAGGGCCAGGGCCCGGACACUGCAAACCGCGACAAGGGCAAGGGCAAGGGCAGUAGCAAGGGCUCGAAGACAAAGCGGGCAGCACGGAAGCGUCGGCCUGGCGGCGGGGGCGGCAGCGAUGGCAGCGACGCGGACAUGGAUCUGGAUUCCAACGGCUCCGGGUCGGAUGCGGAUUCUGGAUCCGAAGACGGCGAACCGGUGGACAAGGAUCCGCCGGAGCCCGGCGAAGUGGCGGAGGGGGCAGAGGCGGCGGGGGGCGGCGAGGGCGCGGCGGCUGAGGCCAAACAGCUGGCGGCGCUGCGGGAGCGCAAGGAGCGGCUGUGGGAGCGGUUCAAGGUGAGCGCAGCACAGCACGAGCAAGUCGCAGCAUGGGGGGGGGACGGGGGUAAUGUGGGGCCGGAAUAGGAGACCCCUGGUGGCGGCGGGAGACGGGCUGCCCGCGCGUGCCGUGCCAAGGCGAUGGGCUACCGUGCACAUGUAUUGGUGUUGUGGUAUUGGAGUAUGCAUACGGUAGGUUUGCACAUAUGCCGUGGGUGUGUAUGUCUGCGCCACGGCCACGGGCCUACGGUCUUCCGGCACGAUUAGGGCGUGCAUGCGCGUUCCACCACACACACUCACCGGAUCUGUUGGGGGCUGACCAAGGUCCCACAUGCCGUGGGCGUCUGGUCCGCAUUCCCCACACGCCGUGUAUGCCUUGAUCGCCGUGCUCAGUCGCCGUGCCCCGCGCCGCCCCCGCAGUUCACGGAGCGCAACCAGCGGCGCGGCGGUCGCGAAGUGGAGCGGCAACGCAAGGAGCUGAGACAGGUGCCGGGGGGGCUGGGGGCUGGGGGCCGGGCGGGGUGAUGGGUGUUGCUGUCUAGGGGAGGGGUGUUAUUUCAAAGGUCUGGGGGGUUGGGGGCUGGGGGUUGGGGGCUGGGAGCUGAGACAGGUGCCGGGGGGAGGCUGGGGGCCGGGGGCCGGGGGCUGGAUGUUGGGUGUUGCUGGUUUGGGGAGGAGUCGCUUUAAAGGGAGUGGGGCUGGGCGUCUCCUUGCACGUAGGCUCCAGGCAGUGUGACGCCGCCCUCCUGUCUCGCAGCACAGCUGGCCUCGCGUCCUUCCGCUUUAAGAUGUGUAGCCCUGCAAACCGCCCCAAGCCCACGCCCCACACCCCUCCCUUUCCCUCCCUCCCUCCCCCUGUUCUACCCGCCCGCAGGCGGUGGUUCUGGCGGCGGAAGUGGUGGUGACCACACUCUCCGCCGCCGGCGGCGACCUAGCACAGCUCUGGGCCGCCGCCACCACCAACGCCGCCGCCGCCGCCGCCGCAAAGGCCGCCGCCGCCGCCGCUGCGCGGCCCGCCGCCGGCAGCGCCGCCGCCGGCUUCGCCGCCAUCGCCGAGGCCGGCGGAGGCGGCGGCGGCGGGCCGGGCUUGGGCGCGCCGCCGCGCUUUGACGCGCUGGUCAUUGACGAGGCGGCGCAGGCGCUGGAGCCGGCGGCGCUCAUCCCGCUGGCGCUGCUGCAGCCGGGGGCAAAGGUGCGCGGGGCCGCGGGGUGCGUAUGAGUGAUGAAAACAACACACACACACACACAUACAUAUACACGGAACUUGAACGCGGGGCGCGGGGCGCAGGGCGCAGGGGGGUGCUUGUACUUGUUUGGUGGUGGAUAGUGGUGGGAAUGAUCAAAGCACCACCGUCUACCAUUUCCUUAGCUAGUCAUGAAUGUAAGCCCCCCCCCCACACACACACAUAUACACAUAUACACACACAUGCACAUACACGGCGGGUUUCGGCUAGUAAUGAACGUUGAACAAACUGCUCGACCGUUGUAAUCCCUCCCUCCCUCCCUCCCUCCCUCUGCCCCCUCCCCCUCCCCUGCAGGUGGUUCUUGUGGGCGACCCCCGUCAGCUGCCGCCCACGGUGCUGAGCCGCGCCGCCGCCGCCGCGCGCCUGAGCCAGUCGCUGUUCGAGCGGCUGCAGCGCGCGGGCGUGCCCGUCACGCUGCUCAGCAGGCAGUACCGCAUGCACCCGGCCAUCAGCAGGUGGGGAGGAGGAGGAGGCGGAUGUGUGUGUGUGUGUGUGUGUGUGUGUGUGUGUGUGUGUGUGUGUGUGUGUGUGUGUGUGUGUGUGUGUGUGUUAAAAAACGAAACGAAAGCCCGCCCAACGACGCGACGGAGUUACUUACCGAUACCUACCAAUUUACCGAGCGUCGCGUGGUUGCCGUGACCCAGGUAGUCAUACUUACCCGCGAUAAGCCUGGAACCCCACGGGCGACCAUUCGGCCUGACCCCGCGAUGCACCUGUAUGCGUCCAUGCUCCGCACCCUGGGCGCGCUAAACAACGUUUACCCAGCACGCCUAAUUCCCAGAUUCCCGCCCGCUGGUCGUAGUCGAGCUCACCUAUAGGCAAAAGCGGAAGCAUGGGCAUAGGGCGGCAGCGAGGAAGUGUCACGGGCAGGCGAAUGGCAAAGGCGACAAGAGAGGCGGCGUGCAGCAGACAAGCUAGAUAUCACGCGCCCCAAAUCCCGCCCGCUAAGUACAAUAACACUAUGGGAAGAGGGCGAGUUAGCGGUGGCACUGCGACUAAACGGGGUCAAGGCUGCAUGGGGGACGUGGCGGGCGGCGGUUGCAGCGUUUCCAGACGUGUCAGACACAGGCUGGUGUGUGUGCGUGUGUGCGAGUGUGCGUGUGUGCGCCGUGGGCUGGCGGGAGCUGGCCUCCCGCUCCCCACUCCACGGCGGCACCGAGGCUAGGCACGCUCGCGGCCGCAGUGGCCGCGUCGGCUAUUCGUGACGAGCCCCCGCCCCAGAAUCCAGUCACCCCCCUGAUAGUGAACACGCGCCGCGAUGUGUCGCGGGUGCAUGGUAGUGCCGCGCCGUACGCCUCGGCGACCGGGCCGUACUCCGUGACGAGGUCCGCCGUCCGUCAGAGCCACCAGAGUGUGUGUGUGUGUGUGUGUGUGUGUGUGUGUGUGUGUAUGUGUUAAAGAGCACAAGGAAAACAUUACGCGUAGGACAGUGUGUGUGUGUGUGUGUGCGUGUGUGUGUGUGUGUGUGUGUGUGUGUGUGUGUGUGUGUGUGUGUGUGUGUGUGUGACUACGGUUUCCACGGUUAUUCUGCCAGAUCACGUGAAUCGUGUAUCUGGUAUAACCAACGACAGGGCUCUCAAUCGAGGGCUGCCGUGACCUGGCGUUUCCCCGGCAGAGCGCAAAACAGCUCUGGAGUGUGUGUGUGUGUGUGUGUGUGUGUGUGUGUGUGUGUGUGUGUGUGUGUGUGUGUGUGUGUGUGUGUGUGUGUGUGUGUGUGUGUGUGUGUGUGUGUGUGUGUGUGUGUGUGUGUGUGUGUGUGUGUGUGUGUGUGUGUGUGUGUGUGUGUGUGUGUGUGUGUGUGUGUGCGGAGGUCGUUUGUACCCGUCCAAACUAAAUCGAACCUAAGGAAGCAAGGAGGAAGCGGGAACCGGGAAGUGGGUUAAUGUUGUACGGCUUGUGUUGUUGCCAACCCAUGUGUUGUGUGCCGGUACUGUGAGACCCUUCCCGCUGGCCGCCCCAAACCCCCUGUGCCUGAUUUCCACCGCCGCCGCCGAACUCAUCAUACUUGACAUCUCCUUCCACCUCCCUGCUCCCGGGCACAUAACCCCUCCCUCCCUCCUCCCCCACUUCCUCCCCCUCACCCCACCCCCGCCAAACAUCCUUGCAACCCCCGCCUGCUGUCUGCCUCGCUACACUUCUCUGUACCAAUCUUUGCAAAUCCACCCACCCCCUUCCUUUACUAAUCAUGUAAUUUACUAAUGUAUCCCACCCCCCAGGUUCCCCUCCUCCUUCUUCUACUCCAACGAGCUGCUGGACGGCGAGACAGUCAGCGCCGCCGCCCGCGCUGCGCCCUGCCACCACCACCCACUGCUGGGGCCGCUGGUGGUGUGGGACGUGGAGGGAGGCCGGGAGCGGGCCGGAGGCGGCGGCGGUGGCGGGGCCGGUGGUGGUGGUGGCGGAGGCGGGGGCUCGCUGCGAAACCAGGCCGAGGCCGAUUUCGUGGCAGACCUGUAUGUGGGUGAGUGCGGGGCGCGGGGCAAACACAAUAGAAUGCGUCGAUACCCGAACGGGGAACAGGGGACAGAGCUGGCGCACGAGAGGGCUGGCAGGGGGUUAUGGCAUCGUGCAGUUGCUGCUGCAUGGGCGCCUGGCUGCAACAGCGCCUGGCUGCAACAGCGCCUGGCUGCAACGGCAGGGUCCGGACUUCCCGCCAGCGCUACCGGCUCCGUAGAAAGCCAGCCGUGGCCCCUGUUCCGCCCUUCCCUGGGCCCGCAUCCCACCAACACCCACCCACUUACCAACACGCCUCCGCCCUACAGGCCUGCGGCAGCGCUAUCCGCACUGGCGGCCGCGUGUGGCGGUGCUGACGCCCUACCGCGCACAGCUGGGGGCGCUGCGGGCGGCGCUGAGGCACGCGCUGGGGGCGCUGGGCAGCGGCGGCGGCCCGGGCGGUGGCGGCGGCGGCGUUGGCUGUCGGGAGCUGGUGGAGGCGGAGGAGUCGGGUCUGUUAGACAUCAUGACCGUUGAUGGGUACCAGGUGGGGCGGCUGGGUCCGGCGGAUUUUGUUUGUGGGGGGUGUUGCUAUCGUCGUUCGUAGUAAGCCGUUCGAGGAGGGGAACAGGCGCGGUUUGGGUUGUUGUACGGAGUUCCAAGGGACUUUCCCACCGCUUCAUCCGCCGCUUCAUCCCGCCGUCUCCCACACACGUGCAGGGCCGAGAGGCGGACGUGGUCAUCUUCAGCGCCGUGCGCGCCAAGCCCAGCCACGCCCUCGCCCUGCUCAACUCCGCCGCCGCCUCCACCAACACCGCCGGUGACACCGCCGCCUCCGCUGCUGCCAGCAGCCUCUUCGACGCUGGCAUCAACAACAACAGCAACAGCGGGGUGGGGGGCGUGGGUUUCCUGGCGGACGUGCGUCGGAUGAAUGUGGCUCUUACGCGCGCCCGCGCCUGCCUGUGGGUGGUGGGGCACGCCGCCACGCUCGCCACCAGCCAUCCCUGGCGGGCGCUGCUGCGGCACGCGGCGGCGGCGGGCGGGCUGAUGCGCGCGCCGGGCAGCGGCGGAUACGGCGGUGAGCGUGUGUGCUUGUGUGUGUGUGCGCUGUGUGUGUGUGUGUGUGUGUGUGUGUUAGGAAACACGAGAGAGAUAGGGUGCGACGGUGUGUGUUUGUGUGCGUGUCUAUGCGGGCUGCGUGGGGGAACGGCCUGAUGGGGCUGGGAUGGGACUAGUGCUCGCGCACUUACUGCCUCUUUUACCUCGUUUCGCCAUGCAAACGUGCACUGUGCUCGCAUCGCGGCAUGUAGGCAGCAUCUCGCUUCGGCGGCUGCUGGCGGCGCCGCUUCCCUCAGAGGCCGCCGCCGCCUCCCAGGGCGGCGGCGGCGGCAGCGGGAGCCUCCGCAGCCGCAACAGUGGCGGUGGCGGCGGUGGCGGCGGCGACGGCGGAUGGUUGGCGGCAGAGGUGGCAGCGCUGGUUGUCAGUGAGCGGCAGCUGGAGGCCAAGGUGGCGGGCGGCAAUGCGGCGGCGGUGGCAGGCGACGCGGCGGCGAUGCCGCCGCCGCCAGCGAGGGCGCCGGCCGCCGCCGCGGCGGCGCGUGAGGCGGGACCUGGGGUCCGCAAGGACGGCGGCGGCAGCGGCAGGCCUGCGGCGCCGGAGGGAACAGUCGGGGCAAGGGUUCCAGCGGCCGCAGGGUUUGACACGCGGCCACGUGCGCCGGAGCGUCAGCGGUCGGCGGAGCGCGAUCCGUCGCCGCCGGCUGCGAGCGGCGUGGCUGCGUUGAACCAGCGCUUCGGCGUGUCCCGCGUGGCUCGCCCGCAGCAGCCGCAGGACGCCGCUGGCGACACGGCGGGCGCCGCGGCGGCCGCAGCCGGAGGCGACGGAGGAGCACCGGCGCCAGGCGGCAGCGCCAGGGGUGCCGGGGCCGCAGCUGCGGCAGCAGCCGCUGAGCGCGAUCGUGACAGAGGGGCGAGCAGGAAUCCGGAUGCCGGCGCCGCUGGCGGCAGCCACAAGCGGGCCCGCAGCCGCGAGCGGGCCGUACCUGCUGAGCGGGAUGCAGCUAUGAAGGACGCGGCGGCCGUUCAGCCGCGGGUGCAGCAUUCGGACAACGCACGAGACGCCGCCGGGGGUGUCACUGGAGGUGUCGGCCUCGAGCCCAGGAGCAGGGGGCCCAGUGCUGACGGCAGCAGCGGCGGCAACAGCGGCGGCGGCGGCGCUGAUGCGAAUGCAGCUGCCAAGGCGCAAGCCGCCACGUCCCAGACCCUGGGCUCGGCUGCAGCAGGGGAAAAGGCGCCGGGCUCAAGUGCUGGCGCCGGUGCGGACGGAGCGGGCCGAGGGCGUGACAGCGGCGGAGGCGCCAGCGGCAGCGGCCCCAGCGGCACCACCGUCGCCAAGCUGCCGCCCGCGAAGCCGCCUGCUGGCUCCGCAGCGCCCAGCGCGCCAGCCAUUGCAACCGCCAGCACCCGGCCUAGCAUCUCCGCAGGGCCCGGGGCCUUCACCGCAGCCGCCGGCGCCGCCGCGGCGGCCACGGCAAUGACAGCGCCGGCGUCUGCCGCGCCAGCCCUGGCGGCGCCGGCGGCAGCACAAGCAGCGCAAGCAGCUGCUGCUUCAGCAGCCAAGCGGAAGCGGGGCGAUGCCGACGGCGAGGGAGCCGGGCGGGAGGUGCGGCGGGCACUGGGCCCAGGAAAUUCCCCCGCCAGUUCAAGCAGAGGAGGAGGCGAGGAGCGCGCCGGUCCCGGGCUGUCGCUGCCGGUGGCGGGCGCAGCCGCUGGCGCGGCGCAGCCACCAACCGCACGCGAGCGGGCCAUAGCGGCCGCCAAGGCGCAGGCGGCGGCGACAGCUGCCAGCGCUGCCAGCGCUGCUCCCGGUGCGGCGGCUGCAGCGGUGCACCGCCGGCCCGGUAGCAGCGGCGGCGGCGGGGCGGCAGCCACCACGGGCGCGGGCGCCGCCGGUGCCAAGCCACCCAGUGGCGCCAGUGGCUCUGCACCGGGAGCCGCCGCACGCGCCCCAUCACCGCCGCUGCGGCCCGUCGCCCGCUCCUACGCCGUCUUGCCGCCGCUGCGCCCAAACAGCAGUGGCGACCUGGCUGCUGCUGCGGCGCCCGCCGGCGCUGCCGCAGGCCUGAGUGCGGUGGCGCUUGCAGCCAGGCCGCCGGCACCAGCCGCCACGGGCGCGGGUAGCAGGCGCAGCGGCGGCGGUAGCGGCAGCGGCGGCGCCGGGGCCGCAGCUGCACCCGCCACAGCCGCAGCGCAUCGCGGCGCCCCUGCCCCGCCUGCCGCCACACGCGCACAGGAGGGGGAGCUGCCGGCGCGCGGCUGGGACGAAGCCAGGGCCAAAGCACGCCCACCCCCGCCGCCGCCGCCGGCCCCGCCACGCCCGCACCCAGGCUCGCCCAAGCGAGCGCCACCCCCGCCCCCGCGAGCACCGCCUGCGCCUCCUCCGCUUCCGCCUUCCCCACCACCGCCGCUGCCGUCGCAGCCGCCGCCACCAUCGCAGCCGCCGCUGCCAUCCCAAGACCCGCCGCCGCUGCCACAGUCACAAGGGCCUGCGGCCGUGUUGGCGCGUCCCGGAACGGGAGGUGCGGCGCCACGCCACGGCCGGGCGUUGGCAGAGCCGCCGGAGCCUGGUGAGCUCAGGCCGUCAGAAAGGGACCGACAGCCGCCGGCAGGCAGGGAGCGAAUGCGUGAGCGAGAACGGGGUCGAGAGCAGGAGUGGGAGCGGGGGCGGCAGGGGAGUCUUGAGCCUGAGCGUGUGUUGGUGCGGCGGCCAAGCCUGGAGCCGGAGAGGCAGCGGGAGGGCUGGGCAGGGCCGGCGGAACGGGGUCGGACCCAGUCUCCGCUGCCGCGGGACUGGCCGCGUGAGCAGGACCGGAACUGGGAGCGGGACCGAGACCGGGACCGGAACUGGGAGCGGGACCGAGACCGGGACCGGAACUGGGAGCGGGAGCGGGAGCGGGAGCGGGAGCGGGAGCGGGAGCGCGAGCGGGAGCGCUACCUGCAGCGUGGCGGAGACCGCAGUCAUGACAGGCCGCUCGGCGGCGAGGAGGGCGGCCGUGACAGGGACUGGGACCGCGACAGGCGGCCUCGACCUCCACCUCCUGACAGGGAGCGGGAGUGGGAGCGCGGGCGGGCACAGGGAAGCCCGGAGCGUGGCGGCUGGGCUGACCGACCCAGGACAGAUUCUCGGGACAGGAUUGGACGUUAGCAGUAGGGCAUGUGGGGGCAAGAAUCCUAUGAUAAAACUUUUGCUUCGGACACAGCAGCUGUAGGCGUCGCAUUGACAACGGGUCACGAAGUACGAUGGUACGGUAUUGCUUGACGCAGGAUUCAGAACUUCAGAAGAAAAGUCUUUACACCGCAAAGCGGGCCUAAUGCUGUCAUUGCGUUUAAUUCAACCUGUUGGCUAAACACAGUGAACACGCACACGGUUGUGUGCAUACGCGUCCUGGCGACUUUGGGGACAAGCGCGUCUGUGUGUCGUGCCGUCCUUUUGGUGUGCACUUGUGGCAGUAAUCAUCAAGCACGAUUGCCGUAGUAUGUGGUGCAGCUGGUAGGCCGGUGGGUAGGCAGAUGAUAGGCUCUAGUGCAGUCUUGACGUGGCAAGCAGCGCAGGCUAGAAAGCAGCUCAGGCAGGGUGCGGUUGCAGGCAGGGGCAGGGGCAGGGUGAGCAUUGCUGCGGGCAACCCGAACUUGACCGAAAUCCUGGGACUAGGAGCCUGGGUCUGGGACCGGGAUGCAAGACAAGCAUCCACGGAAAGCACGGGGGGACGUGCGCCGGUGCAGGGGAUUCGCACGCGCCUGGCACGGGGUAUCGUGCUGAAGUUUGAUUGAAGCAAUUCAUGUAAGAGAAAUGUAAGCUAGUGCGCAUGCAAAUGCAAGACGCCGCCGAGUGCCGCCGCUGUAAGGCAGGGCAAGGAAUCGAGUCCGUUCGAGUAGUCGAUUAUUGACGGGAUGCACCUACUGGCAGUUUGUCAUGGACAAGGGGUGUCAGCUUUGUACAGCUGGAAAAUGGGCUGAGCCCCCGUACGCUUGGGAGCUAAUAGGCGUGAACGCCCCGUCAGAGCCGCCAUGCCGCUACGAGGGACACUCGGGUUGGGGCCGACGGGAUUUCCCGCGCCACGCAUGCGUGCCUUGUCACGUUCCGAAACACCCCACGCAUUUCUUUCGCCUCCUGCCAUACUCAACACCUCCCCGGCGCCCCACGCUCAAAGGGCUAGGCGCGGGGCGGGGGCGACCUCGGGGCUUCUCGGCAUUCUGGCGCGUCGGCAGGCAUGACUCAGCAAGUCGCUCAAAACUUUCGAUAUACUUCCCCGCAUUGCAUGCCGCCAACAUAGUUUGCCAUAGAGACUGCAUAUCAUCGGGCACUGGAUGCUUUCCUCGCGACCUUGCGAAAGUCAAUUGUCCAUGGACGCGAGAAGGCACUUCUCGCUCCGCCCAAAUUUUCCCUGCCACCUAUUUACAUGCAAUAGGCAUUAACAAAUACUAAUACGCCAUUCCACGCUGCCAUUCCACCCGCUGGCUGUCAUACAAAGCAGGCUCUCACAGCAGGCUCUCCAGCUCCAGCCAGGUGCCAUCCGCCUCGUUGCCCACGCCCAGGUAGCCGCCUGGUGCCACCUUCUCGAAGUGCCAGUGCGUCUUGGGCCAGCGCUUGAAGAAGCCCGGCAUCACGACGAGCGUGCCCAAGACGCAGGUGUCGAAGGCCUUGGGGCAUACCGUACUGCCACGCUCAAUUGGUGAUUUCAUAAUUGGUGACAGUAAGAAAUCGCCUUGGAAUUAAACAGGCUGACACAGACUUUGGUGAUGGGCCCUGGCAGAAGCCAGGCCGCAUUAAACCCGUGUCACAGAAUUUGGUGAUGGGACCCCCAGGAGGGUGGGAGGGAUGUCUGGGCGAGCCAUCCAGGGCAUCGGGGUCGGAGACGCAUCCAGCCGGCGCGGGCAUCCAGCAGUGCUGGGCCACAUAACCUGCCUACCUGGGGGCGACCCGACCGGGGUAUGCGACAGUGCCCGCCCGGCCAUCCAACAGUUCCGGGCCGACCCGACCCAGCCAUCCACGCAUUGGUCGCCGGCUCAUCCCGCAUCCCUGGGCCAACCCCAGCACAGACAUCCAGCAGACGCGAGCCCACCCGUGCACACAUCACGUUUCCUGACUUGGAAAGCUGUUUGGGGAAAAGCCAAAUCCAUAGGAAGAAAAGCUCCUCCCUCUGGGCGUGGAACAUGCUGGGGGCGUGCUGGUCGACACGGCCUGACAUGGCGAACCCGCCAAACCUCUUUUCGGCUUAAUCUGUUUCAUAAUCAUAUAAGCGUGUAGGUUAUUCUUCGUAAGCUGCUGUUUGUCUGCUGGAAGCUGAAGCCAUACAGCAGAUCAACAAGCAACUGUCGUCUUUCUAGCACCAAUUCCUGGUUCCACGAGCAUGGGAUAUAGAAAACAGCAGGAAUAGUCAAGCCCGUCCUUUGAGGCGCCCAGAAGCGGCCAGCGAGCCGGACGAACCACUGGUUCGCUUCGGCCAUCUCGGGUGCCCCGGCCCCUUCUCGUCACAGUCUAUGCCCACACCAAUGAACACAACCUAUUACAUGUGCACAGUUCAUCGGGGUAAACUAAAGCGAACGCUGGACGUCUUCCGCAGAGACAGCAUUUCGGGGUUUAGCGUUGAGCUAUAAACGGCCGCUAUAGCGUGAACAUAGCUCAUUAUAGUAUUGAUGCUAAGGCGUAACGAAGGUGUUGAAUUCUGAGGGCAUGACAUGAAAGCACAAAAACACGCUGUUCGAAGCGGCUCUACCCCUGCAAUACCCAUGGCAUACCCCCCCGCUCCUCCCUGGUCCGCGGCGCAGUCAUAACAGCACGCCGCGUGUAACGUGCAGAGCCAUUCAACAGUGCUGGGGUGACCCCGACCCAGCCAUCCAGCAGUCCCCGCCGGGCCAUCCAGCAUUCCCGGGUCGGCCCGACCGGGCCAUCCAACAGUCCCCGCCGAGCCAUCCGGUUGUCCCGCCCAGGCAUCCAGCAGUGCUGGGCCGGCCCGCUAGGGAACUGCAACAGUGCUUGGAAACGGGUAGUCCCAACCACUCAAAAAC
Molecule: long non-coding RNA, 38531 nt
Filed under: Chlamydomonas reinhardtii
Lineage: Eukaryota; Viridiplantae; Chlorophyta; Chlorophyceae; Chlamydomonadales; Chlamydomonadaceae
Description: long non-coding RNA (CREI_LNC000629)
Source: RNAcentral